This is a non-coding RNA of Picea glauca (white spruce), 73 nucleotides long. The record is from Rfam. NCBI's taxonomy places the organism in Eukaryota, Viridiplantae, Streptophyta, Pinopsida, Pinales, Pinaceae.
GAUUCCAUGGCUUAAUGGAUAAGGCGCUAGUCUACGAAACCAAAGAUUUUGGGUUUGAUCCCUAGUGGAGUAG